Molecule: ribosomal RNA, 481 nt
Filed under: uncultured bacterium
Lineage: Bacteria
Description: bacterial SSU rRNA
Rfam family: Bacterial small subunit ribosomal RNA
Source: RNAcentral
AAUCAACGCUGGCGGCGUGCCUCAGACAUGCAAGUCGAACGAUUAAAGCUCUCUUCGGAGAGUGUAUAGAGUGGCGCACGGGUGAGUAACACGUAAGUAAUCUACCUUUGAGUGGGGAAUAACAUCGGGAAACCGAUGCUAAUACCGCAUAAUGCAGCGGCAUCGCAAGAUGACAGUUGUUAAAGAUUAUCGCUUGAAGAGGAGCUUGCGGCAGAUUAGCUAGUUGGUAAGGUAAUGGCUUACCAAGGCUACGAUCUGUAACCGGUCUAAGAGGACGGUCGGUCACACUGACACUGAAUAACGGGUCAGACUCCUACGGAGGCAGCAGUCGGGAAUUUUGGGUCAAUGGGCGAAAGCCUGACCCAGCAACGCCGCGUGAAGGAUGAAGUAUUUCGGUAUGUAAACUUCGAAAGAAUGGGAAGAAUAAAUGACGGUACCAUUUAUAAGGUCCGGCUAACUACGUGCCAGCAGCCGCCGUAAU